UUUUUUUUAAUAGUAAAUACGAGGGAGGGAAAAACAACUUUUUUCGGUUUUUUUUUCGCUUUAUAUUUCAACAUAAUCUUCAUCAAGAUUAAUAAAUUUUUCAUAACAGUAAUCUAAUGCAGUGAUAUCAUUAUUAUAGUCCGAUUCAUCAAGUCCUUCAAAAUACUCAUUUGCACCGUCGAUGACUUCCUCGUUGCUCUCAAAUUUUUAACUCCAAGCCACUUUAUAAGGUUAGGAAAC
Molecule: unclassified non-coding RNA, 240 nt
Filed under: Melitaea cinxia (Glanville fritillary)
Lineage: Eukaryota; Metazoa; Arthropoda; Insecta; Lepidoptera; Nymphalidae
Description: misc RNA ENSMCXG00005009269.1
Source: RNAcentral